Aegilops tauschii subsp. strangulata is the source of this 1826-nucleotide long non-coding RNA. RefSeq lists it as uncharacterized. The record is from RefSeq and is a predicted model, not a curated record. Lineage: Eukaryota; Viridiplantae; Streptophyta; Magnoliopsida; Poales; Poaceae.
UCUGAAACUCUCAAUCUUUUUGUGUCAACCAUGCCCUGCUGAAUGUUAUCCUACUACUUACUGAUGAGCAUCGAAUCCUUUUGUCUGUGUCCAUCUUAUCGUCGUGGUGGUGGUUGAGUACAUCUCUGUAAGUUUUGUAAGUUCAGAGACCGGAAACAGGUAAGUUUAGACAAAAUUUAAACUGCCAAAGAACAUGAGUUUUUGUACAUUUUAGAACAUUGGACUGUCACUACCCAUUCAAGUAAUCACAAUACCAUCAUGGAUGACAAUAGUACAAACUGUCAUGGAUAAUGCAAGUUGUAUCCAUGUACAUAGUUAUUUAUUUCUAUUGCGAUAAGUUCAACUGAUCAAAUGCUACAAGUCUGCGUGUUAUUUUCCAUGCAGUACAAGUGAUAAUUGUUCUUAUUUCUUCACCAUUUUUUCUAUAACCUGGACUCUGUAGAGAAGGCAGCGAGUGCUCUUUGUGAUAUUAAUUUGAUCAAACCUGAACAAGGUGUUCCCAUUUUAACUAAGCCUUCUCCAUUAUUUCUAUGAUACAUUUUGCAUAGAUGAUAGUACAUCUGCAGUUUUUUGUGAAAAUUUGAGACACUGAACAUGUCUACUCCAUGUUGCAUAUAUAGUUAGGUCAGGUUGUAUUGUUCACUUAGUAUUAUAUUUUUUGAAACUCACCCAAAAACAAUUGCUGAGAUGUAUUUCGUAGCCUCAUGCCAACAUAACAAUAAAAAUAAACAUUCAGGGGGACCGAGUUCAGUGAAUAUGUGUUAGAAAAGUUCAAUUCAACCGUGCACUUAAGUUCAAUAUAGAAUAGAAUACAGAAUUGGCAACUUAUCCUCCAGCGGCCGGUGAUGCUCCCCUUCGACCACUCUGCCUCCUCCCCCAUGGUGCUACGCCACCACCGCGUACAGGCAGUUCACAGCCACCACCCCUGUCCGUUCAAUUUCGCUGCUGUGGACGCAUCCCACUCCAAUGCCAUGGCUUAUAAUUCAACGGCAAAUAGUGGAGCCUGCUGGAGGAGUUGCGGGGUCAAGGACCUCCUGCUCAACAGUACAACUUCUUGUUUUAUGGCCGGUCGCUCCAGGAGCUGAGUGCAGGCCGCUCCUUGCUGCGAGCUGCUACUGCACCUACGACUGUCUAGCUCAGCUGCAGCCUUUCUGCUGCUGUUGAUGCAUGCCACUUGCCCACCGACGCCACCUACCUCCGCCGCAGCGACCUCGCCCGGAUCAGCCGCCAUGGCCCUCGCUCCCUCCGCCACCAGCUCCCUCGCCAACUGCCGAUGCACCUGCUCCCAUUGCUGUCGCGCGCCUAACCCACCACCACCACCUCCAGACAGAAAUACCGAUGCCAGUCACUCAUGUUGCAUUGCGUUGCAGUUGCCAGGGAACCUUCCUCGACUCCUCCCCUUGACGAUGGGAUACAUCGACCAGCGGCAUGUCUGUCUAUCCGACAAGGUGGUCGGACAGUGCCAACCGGACGUCUGUGUCUAGCCUGACUUGGGAUGGCUUCUGGGCAACUGCAGGUGGAGGAGAACCAGUAAGUUCCACUGGUGUACGAGAAUUUCAAGGACUUCGCCGCUAACAGCCAAUGAUAGUUAACUGGAUACACCAAAGCAGCAUCUUAAGGUGGCCGGGUCAAAGUGCUAUGACUAGCACUUCAAGAACAAAGAUUAACUCUGUAAUUCUAAUGGUCAUAGUUCUUAUGUUCAGAAAAUAUAUGUUAUGUGUUUUGGUUGAUUCUAAACUGUUGCGUAUCAAACAUGUAUGCACAUUUUGUGUUCGAACAUGUUUUGGUCCAUUGACCUUUUGAACUUGCAACCUUGCUGCCUUGAA